Molecule: long non-coding RNA, 443 nt
Filed under: Rattus norvegicus (Norway rat)
Lineage: Eukaryota; Metazoa; Chordata; Mammalia; Rodentia; Muridae
Description: long non-coding RNA NONRATT020319
Rfam family: tRNA (bases 370-433)
Source: RNAcentral
CAUUCAUGUGUAGGGACAACAAGAAACAUCUUUCCAUCACAUUUGCCAAGGGUCUAGCUCAAGACCUCAGACUUUGGUAAUCAGAUCUUUAUAGUAAUCUCCCCAGCUCAAUAGAUUUGGCUUUAGGUCCUUUCCUAAAUAUACGUACAUUCACAGUUCCCAUCACACUGAAUUUGAUAUCGACUAAUUCAGCACAUACAAACCCUAGACCAUAUUCCGUGUAUUUGAUGUCACCAGUUUAUUUCUUUGCUCUGAUAAUGCCCACCACCAUCACUCUUGAACUCAUCUUGCCUCCUGAAUGCCAGGAUGAAAGGUGUCACUGUACCUGGUUUCCUAAAAUAUUUUUUUUUAAAGAUUUAUUCAUGGGUUGGGGAUUUAGCUCAGUGGUAGAGCGCUUGCCUAGCAAGCGCAAGGCCCUGGGUUUGAUUCCCCAGCUCCGAAAA